UAGAAGUUUACUUCGGUACAUCGGUGACAGGUGGUGCAUGGUUGUCGUCAGCUCGUGUCGUGAGAUUGUUGGGUUUAAGUCCCGCAACGAGCGCAACCCUUGUCCUUAGUUGCCAGCAUUAAGUUGGGCACUCUAAGGAGACUGCCGGUGUUAAACCGGAGGAAGGUGGGGAUGACGUCAAGUCCUCAUGGCCCUUAUGUCCAGGGCUACACACGUGCUACAAUGGCCGGUACAAAGGGCUGCAAUACCGCAAGGUGGAGCGAACCCCAAAAAGCCGGUCUCAGUUCGGAUUGGAGUCUGCAACUCGACUCCAUGAAGUUGGAAUCGCUAGUAAUCGCGGAUCAGCAUGCCGCGGUGAAUACGUUCCCGGGCCUU
This 375-nucleotide ribosomal RNA is filed under the name uncultured Pelobacter sp. Its description in RNAcentral is "bacterial SSU rRNA". It matches the Rfam family "Bacterial small subunit ribosomal RNA", at positions 1008 to 1382 of the family's 1533-position model. The record is from RNAcentral. Lineage: Bacteria; Pseudomonadati; Thermodesulfobacteriota; Desulfuromonadia; Desulfuromonadales; Desulfuromonadaceae.